RNAcentral lists this ribosomal RNA (274 nucleotides) under uncultured bacterium. Its description in RNAcentral is "partial 16S ribosomal RNA". It matches the Rfam family "Bacterial small subunit ribosomal RNA", at positions 523 to 796 of the family's 1533-position model. The record is from RNAcentral.
AUCCGGAGGGUGCAAGCGUUGUUCGGAAUCACUGGGCGUAAAGGGCGCGCAGGCGGUUUAUUAAGUCAGAUGUGAAAGCCCACGGCUUAACCGUGGAAGUGCAUUUGAAACUGUAAGACUUGAGUAUCAGAGGGGAAGGUGGAAUUCCCGGUGUAGAGGUGAAAUUCGUAGAUAUCGGGAGGAAUACCGGUGGCGAAGGCGACUUUCUGGCUGAAUACUGACGCUGAGGCGCGAAAGCGUGGGGAGCAAACAGGAUUAGAAACCCCAGUAGUCC